GACGAACGCUGGCGGCGUGCUUAACACAUGCAAGUCGAACGGAAAGGCCCUGCUUGCAGGGUACUCGAGUGGCGAACGGGUGAGUAACACGUGGGUGAUCUGCCCUGCACUUCGGGAUAAGCCUGGGAAACUGGGUCUAAUACCGGAUAGGAGCCAUUUUUAGUGUGAUGGUUGGAAAGUUUUUUCGGUGUAGGAUGAGCUCGCGGCCUAUCAGCUUGUUGGUGGGGUAAUGGCCUACCAAGGCGGCGACGGGUAGCCGGCCUGAGAGGGGGGACGGCCACAUUGGGACUGAGAGACGGCCCAGACUCCUACGGGAGGCAGCAGUGGGGAAUAUUGCACAAUGGGCGCAAGCCUGAUGCAGCGACGCCGCGUGGGGGAUGACGGCCUUCGGGUUGUAAACUCCUUUCGCUAGGGACGAAGCUUUGUGUGACGGUACCUAGAGAAGAAGCACCGGCUAACUACGUG
Molecule: ribosomal RNA, 465 nt
Filed under: uncultured bacterium
Lineage: Bacteria
Description: partial 16S ribosomal RNA
Rfam family: Bacterial small subunit ribosomal RNA
Source: RNAcentral